GUAGGAGACGAGCGUUAUCCGGAUUUACUGGGCGUAAAGCGUGUKCAGGCGGUUCGGCAAGUUGGAUGUGAAAUCUCCCGGCUCAACUGGGAGGGGUCGUUCAAUACUACCGAACUUGAGGGCAUCAGAGGAAGGUGGAAUUCCGGGUGUAGUGGUGAAAUGCGUAGAUAUCCGGAGGAACACCAGUGGCGAAAGCGGCCUUCUGGGAUGCAUCUGACGCUCAGACACGAAAGCUAGGGGAGCGAACGGGAUUAGAGACCCCGGUAGUCCUAGCUGUAAACGAUGUAGACCUGGCGUCGGAGGGUUCAAAACCUUCGGUGUCGUAGCUAACGCGAUAAGUCUACCGCCUGGGGACUACGGCCGCAAGGUUA
This 371-nucleotide ribosomal RNA is filed under the name uncultured bacterium. Its description in RNAcentral is "bacterial SSU rRNA". It matches the Rfam family "Bacterial small subunit ribosomal RNA", at positions 527 to 896 of the family's 1533-position model. The record is from RNAcentral.